UGGGAAACAGGGUGCUAAUACCGCAUAAAACCUAACACCGCAUGGUGUAGGGUUGAAAGAUGGUUUCGGCUAUCACUUUAGGAUGGACCCGCGGUGCAUUAGUUAGUUGGUGAGGUAAAGGCUCACCAAGACCGUGAUGCAUAGCCGACCUGAGAGGGUAAUCGGCCACACUGGGACUGAGACACGGCCCAGACUCCUACGGGAGGCAGCAGUAGGGAAUCUUCCACAAUGGACGAAAGUCUGAUGGAGCAACGCCGCGUGAGUGAAGAAGGUUUUCGGAUCGUAAAACUCUGUUGUUGGAGAAGAAUGUAUCUGAUAGUAACUGAUCAGGUAGUGACGGUAUCCAACCAGAAAGCCACGGCUAACUACGUGCCAGCAGCCGCGGUAAUACGAA
Molecule: ribosomal RNA, 394 nt
Filed under: uncultured Lactobacillus sp.
Lineage: Bacteria; Bacillati; Bacillota; Bacilli; Lactobacillales; Lactobacillaceae
Description: bacterial SSU rRNA
Rfam family: Bacterial small subunit ribosomal RNA
Source: RNAcentral